Molecule: long non-coding RNA, 2284 nt
Organism: Oreochromis niloticus (Nile tilapia)
Lineage: Eukaryota; Metazoa; Chordata; Actinopteri; Cichliformes; Cichlidae
Source: Ensembl
UGUCCCUCAUGACAUAAUUCUGUUUUCUUUAAGCUAAAAAGCGGAAGAAGAACUUGUCACUUCCUUUUAUCCUCUCAGCAGAUGAAAGAAUAAAGAAAACUUCAAUAAGUCUUGAAACCAGCCUUUUUUAAAAUUUAUUUAUUUUAAAACCCCUCUCAUUCGAGGCUUAUCACUGACACUUUGCUUCAGUUCAGAGCCGCUUACACGUUAUUCUGAAAGCUGCUGAGUGGAUCAACAGUGAGCAGACAUGGGAGCUGUAGUUGGAUUGUUUUUGAUGAUGUUUGGAGUUGUUCAUGGUGUGGAAAGUUACUGUGACGGCAGACCAGAUGGAGCUCAUUGUUAUGGAACUUUGGGAGGAACUUUGGACAUCAAACUGAUGGACAGCACCUCAGAAAUAUUCAGAUUCCUACUGUUCAAGUAUAUAUAUGUAAUACUAAAUGGAAGAAGGAACAAUCCUAAACAUAAUACAGCAGAUGAAAGAUUUCUCUUUUAUCUCAGUAAUGGAACACUUAGGAUACAUAACCUGAGCAGUACAGACAGCGGUAAAUAUACCUUUUCGACCUUUAAUUCAGAUGGACAAAGAUCAGCUGAGCGGACUUUACAGCUUUUUAUUCAAGGUACUUCCUGGUUCAUACAUGGUUUGAAAGCAGUGGUGGUAAUUAUAUCAUUAAGUGGGAUUUGGAUCUAUUUCACUUGGAAGAAAAAAACAAUAUUGGAAGGCUCUGCUGUCCCACAAAGGAUGGAAUCUCCAGAUAACUCUGUUUUAAUGACUGAAAUGAGUCCUUACUCCAACACUUAGUGUCACCUUUCACCUGCUGUAAAUUCACUGUGUGUCCUUACAGAUGUGCAAAUGAGGACUAGGGUGAUUUUUCUUCUUUUUCUUCCUUCUUUUGUCAUAUGUAGUGCACAAGGACAAAUUUGUUUUCACCUUUUGGUGUGUUUGUGUUACAUUUUAUAAUAAACCAUAUAGUUCACAAUGUGAUUUCAGUGUGUGAAUAAAGAGGUAACAAAAAUGUUUAUUUCUGGUUCUUAAAAGCAGGAACAAUCAGAGAAAAAAAGACCAUGGAAAAGAGGAGAGCAAAAACUUUAGAGGAAAGGAGCUAAAGAACUGAAAUAACAUCUGAGUUGAACAUUAACAAUCAAGUUAAAAAUGAUCACGUUUUUAUGUUGUGUAGUGUCGGGCAACAGAACUUCAACUUGACUGCAUUUAGCUGGAUUUGAGCAGAUAUUUUGUCUCUGAACACCUCAGAAUACAUUCGGCUGCGUCUGUCCUGUGUCAUCAAUAAACACUAGUGUCCCAGUUUCACCGGCAGCCAUGCACACCCAAGCUGCCAUACUGCCUCCGCUGUGUUUUACAGAUGAUGUGGUAUGCUCUGGAUUAUGAGCUGUUCUACGUCUUAACCAUCUUUUUUCUUGCCAUCAUUCUGGUGAAGGUUGAUUUUGGUUUCAUCUGUCCAAAGAAUUUUUUUCUGAACUUGCAGCUGGCUUUUUUAGAUGUCCAAUCUAAAUCUAAUCUAGCCUUUCUAUUCUUGAGGUUUAUGAGUGGUUUGCACUUUGCAGUGAACUCUCUGUAUUUUUUUUCAUGCGGUCUUCUCUUUUAAAUGUGGAUACCCUCAAAUGAAAGCUGAGAGGCUACACGUUAUGUCCAUUAUAUAUCUAUAAUCUGAAAAUGUUUUAGUAAACAGGUAAAAAAAAAAUGUGUCAGUGUCCAAAUAUAUAUGGACGUAACUGUACAUACAAAUUGUUAUAUGUUUUUUUUAAAUACAUAGAGUGAGAAAGUGCUGACUAGAUUGAAAGAAUACUUUGAGGAGCCGAUGAAUAUAGAAAAUAAAAGAGAAAAGGUAAGUCAGGAAGUGCAGAGGAUUAGUAAGGAGGAAGUACGGGCAGCUAUGAAAAGGAUAAGGAGUGGAACAGCAGUUCAUCCAGAUACACACCUAUGGAGGUAUGGCGAUGUCUAGCAGAGAACAGCGGCUUUUUACCAGAUUGCUAAACACAAACUUGGAGAGUGAGCGGAAUGGAGAAAAAGUGCAGUGGUACCAAGGAUGAGUACAGUACUGUAGUAACUGCAAAAGCUGUUGUGCCAUAAAGUGAAGAUAUGGGAAAGUGUCUUUGAGCUGGGCUGAGAAGUAAGAUGACAAUCUGUGAGCAGCAGUAUAGCUUCAUACUGAGAAAGAGUGAUACAGCUGUCAUGUUUGUUUUGAGUGUUGAUGGAGGAGUAAAGAAAAUGCCAGAAGGAGUUGGACUGCGAAAAAAUGUGAUAGGGUGCUAACAGAGGAACUGAGGA